Molecule: long non-coding RNA, 2925 nt
Filed under: Malus domestica (apple)
Lineage: Eukaryota; Viridiplantae; Streptophyta; Magnoliopsida; Rosales; Rosaceae
Description: long non-coding RNA (MDOM_LNC009672)
Source: RNAcentral
AUUGUAUUUGUGGUCCAUAUAAACAAAAAAGAAAUUUGCACAAAUGUCUCCUGAAUUUUUUUGGGAUGUGUUUAUUUACCACCCAAACUAAAUUUUUUGUUCAAUUUUCAAUUAGACUUUCAUUUUGUGCUAAUUGACAUCUCUGUUAUGUUCUGCUAGCUAUGUCGUUAAGUUUAAGGGUGAUUUUGUCGAUUUUCAUCGAAAAAAAACCUUAAUCAAAAUCUUUAAAUUUAUUUAAACAAUUAAAGAAGGCAAAGGGGAUGAAAAUUAGAAAAUACAUUGCAAAAGGUCGAGAUAGAGAGAAUGAGUCAGGAAAGGAGAGAAAGAUGAAGUGGAGGAGGGAUAUAGACAAGUGGAGCUAGGGAGGAAAAUACAGGAAACACAUAGGAGGAGAAAAGACUAACUUAGGUUGUGUUGUGUGGGGGUCAUAGAAAUGAGAUUAUGAGCCGCGAGGUUUGAGAUCGGGUUGGGGUCUGAAGGCUCCGAAUUGUGAGAUCAGGUUGGUAUUUAAUACGAGCGUUGUGGAAUUUGAAUAGUGGUAGUGGCGAUUGUGCUGUUGAGAACAUGGAUGGUUAAUAUCCAGCAAGUGGAGGCGUGGGGGUGGAGGAAGGUCACUAAGUUUCAUUAUCUUUCUUCUUCUCUUUUCAAUAUUUUAUUUUGUUAUUUUAGAAAUUUUCAUUUAGUUUGAGAUUUCAUUAAAUUAAAAGAUUAAAUUAGAUCUGACCUACAUGAAGAAGAUGUUUUAACGAAAAAUUUCAAUAGAAAUCAUCAAAGGUGGUACAUUGGCACCAAAAUUGAAGCCUAGGUGGUGUUGGACAAAAGAUUUAGUUUAGGUGGCAAAUGCAGACACUUCAAAUAAUUAGAUGGUGUUUGUGCAAAUUCCCCAAAACAAAAUAUCAAACGGUCACAUUCACUUGACCAAAUUGCCUACUUUGACCAAUCUUACAAUUGACUGGCCCUGAUCUUUUCUAGGUCACACUAAUUGGAGUAUUGGACUAGGCUUCAAUUUCAACCAAUACCGACAUAUUAAGGGCCAAACUAUGAGUGAGUUAAGGGUUUGAACACCUUCAAAUAUAUUUGAGCAUGCACAAACCUACGGGUGGGAAAAGUAUGAGUACGUAAUCGAUGUGUUAUAAUAUAUAUUACACGACAAUCUUUGCAUAGUAUGAGUACAUGGUGUAAUAGUAAGAACACGCAGUGUUCAUACUACAAACGAAUUGUUAACACUAUCCAAAAUAGUGACUGUUUGUACCAUACUUAGGGCAUCCGUAUUUAGACUUCGUAUAAAUACUCGGGGGAUUCAAGUGUAAUUAUGUAAUAAAUGAAUGGGCAAAUAUGUAAUAAGUGAUGAGCCCUUAUUCUAUAAAAGGACUCCUCACUCUCCUCAUUAGAGGAGGUCAAGGUUUAGGUCAUGGGAAGAGAGCACACAUAAAAUAGGCUAGAGAGCACACUGCCUCUAGCCUUCUUGUAUAUUCAUCAUUCAAAGUGAAACAAUAUCAACAUUAAUGUGGACGUAGCCCAAACAUUGGGGUGAACCACGAUACAUCUUGUGUUCUUGACCAAUCUUACAAUUGACUGGCCCUGAUCUUUUCUAGGUCACACUAAUUGGAGUGUUGGACUAGGCUUCAAUUUCAACCAGUACCGACAUAUUAAAGGCCAAACUAUGAGUGAGUUAAGGGUUUGAACACCUUCAAAUAAAUUUGAGCAUGCACAAACCUACGGGUGGGAAAAGUAUGAGUACGUAAUCGAUGUGUUAUAAUAUAUAUUACACGACAAUCUUUGCAUAGUAUGAGUACAUGGUGUAAUAGUAAGAACACGCAGUGUUUAGACUACAAACGAAUUGUUAACACUAUCCAAAAUAGUGACUGUUUGAAAUGUUAACAACAACGAGCGAUUGUCUUUAAUUGGUAGCUCAAGUGGGCAACAAUCCACCCGAUAUUAAGCAUAUUAAUUUUCUCACUCUCCUCAUUUUGGCUCGUGUCGCUCAUUUCACCAUAUCUUCUCUCCUUUUACUCACUACAUUUUGGAUCGUGAGUUAAGAUGUUUUGUAGUUAGUUGUUUAUCUGCACAUGCUAAUGUUAAUUCAUACAACUUUUGCAAUACAUUAACGAUUAUAAAUUAGUGACCGGUAAACGGGUUAUGAACAACGCUUUAAUUAGACUAGGAGUAGAAGUAAUAGUGUAAUGAGAAAUGUGAAUGAGACUUUCUUAACGUGAAAUCUUUAUGAACUCUCUAUCACCUCACUUUACAGUUUAACGUCAAUUUUAAAACCAACAUUAUAAAAUAUUAUGUCAUCAAUAUAAAAUAACAGAUAAUCUAUAAAGAAUUACACUUUGAAGAAUCUUUUUACCCGUUAUCGUGUAAUUAGCCACUAAACCGUAGCCUAGGUUACCUAGGUUGGAAGCGUGGCGCAUAAAAAGUCGAAGAUGAGAAGGUAAAUGAUUUGAUUAUGGAUGGGGGGGGCAGUUUAAAGCGGCGGGGCCGGGGUUGCAUGCCGGCGUGCGGUGGCUAUGGGAAGUCUCUCUCUCUCUCUCUCUCUCUCUCUCUCUCUCUCUCUUUCUUUGAGUUUGCAGCCAGUACUUUUGUCUUUUGUCAGUACUCUGUGUGUGUGUGUGUGUGUCAGUGUGUGUGAUGUGUGACGUGUGAGUUGAGUUUGUUAGGGUGUUGGUAGGUACUUUGGAUUGGGGGUGCACUGUAUGAAGCGUGAUCCGCCAUGCACUGACUGGACUAGUGUCCAGUGUUCUGUUUGGGAGGUUCACGUGACAAAUGCUGGGGGGGGACCGGGUGGUGAUCCAAAUAUGUAUGACUGACAGCUGACUGACAUGAUUCACAUCCAAGCAGAGGAGGUGGUGAGCUUUUUGUGGGGCCCCUAAAUAUCUGCUGUGCACCACCUUCCAAAUUAGCUAGUCUUUCGGCUUCUCACUG